UACAGAGGUCCCAAGCGUUGUUCGGAUUCACUGGGCGUAAAGGGUGCGUAGGCGGUCGGGUAAGUCUGAUGUGAAAUCUCACAGCUUAACUGUGAAACUGCAUUGGAUACUAUCCGGCUUGAGGAAUGGAGGGGAGACUGGAAUACUUGGUGUAGCAGUGAAAUGCGUAGAUAUCAAGUGGAACACCAGUGGCGAAGGCGAGUCUCUGGACAUUUCCUGACGCUGAGGCACGAAAGCCAGGGGAGCAGACAGG
This 253-nucleotide ribosomal RNA is filed under the name uncultured bacterium. Its description in RNAcentral is "partial 16S ribosomal RNA". It matches the Rfam family "Bacterial small subunit ribosomal RNA", at positions 524 to 776 of the family's 1533-position model. The record is from RNAcentral.